This 1091-nucleotide ribosomal RNA is filed under the name Staphylococcus aureus. RNAcentral describes it as "partial 23S ribosomal RNA". It matches the Rfam family "Bacterial large subunit ribosomal RNA", at positions 466 to 1561 of the family's 2925-position model. The record is from RNAcentral. Lineage: Bacteria; Bacillati; Bacillota; Bacilli; Caryophanales; Staphylococcaceae.
CUAAAUACUCUCUAGUGACCGAUAGUGAACCAGUACCGUGAGGGAAAGGUGAAAAGCACCCCGGAAGGGGAGUGAAAUAGAACCUGAAACCGUGUGCUUACAAGUAGUCAGAGCCCGUUAAUGGGUGAUGGCGUGCCUUUUGUAGAAUGAACCGGCGAGUUACGAUUUGAUGCAAGGUUAAGCAGUAAAUGUGGAGCCGUAGCGAAAGCGAGUCUGAAUAGGGCGUUUAGUAUUUGGUCGUAGACCCGAAACCAGGUGAUCUACCCUUGGUCAGGUUGAAGUUCAGGUAACACUGAAUGGAGGACCGAACCGACUUACGUUGAAAAGUGAGCGGAUGAACUGAGGGUAGCGGAGAAAUUCCAAUCGAACCUGGAGAUAGCUGGUUCUCUCCGAAAUAGCUUUAGGGCUAGCCUCAAGUGAUGAUUAUUGGAGGUAGAGCACUGUUUGGACGAGGGGCCCCUCUCGGGUUACCGAAUUCAGACAAACUCCGAAUGCCAAUUAAUUUAACUUGGGAGUCAGAACAUGGGUGAUAAGGUCCGUGUUCGAAAGGGAAACAGCCCAGACCACCAGCUAAGGUCCCAAAAUAUAUGUUAAGUGGAAAAGGAUGUGGCGUUGCCCAGACAACUAGGAUGUUGGCUUAGAAGCAGCCAUCAUUUAAAGAGUGCGUAAUAGCUCACUAGUCGAGUGACACUGCGCCGAAAAUGUACCGGGGCUAAACAUAUUACCGAAGCUGUGGAUUGUCCUUUGGACAAUGGUAGGAGAGCGUUCUAAGGGCGUUGAAGCAUGAUCGUAAGGACAUGUGGAGCGCUUAGAAGUGAGAAUGCCGGUGUGAGUAGCGAAAGACGGGUGAGAAUCCCGUCCACCGAUUGACUAAGGUUUCCAGAGGAAGGCUCGUCCGCUCUGGGUUAGUCGGGUCCUAAGCUGAGGCCGACAGGCGUAGGCGAUGGAUAACAGGUUGAUAUUCCUGUACCACCUAUAAUCGUUUUAAUCGAUGGGGGGACGCAGUAGGAUAGGCGAAGCGUGCGAUUGGAUUGCACGUCUAAGCAGUAAGGCUGAGUAUUAGGCAAAUCCGGUACUCGUUAAGGCUGAGC